This 253-nucleotide ribosomal RNA is filed under the name uncultured bacterium. Its description in RNAcentral is "partial 16S ribosomal RNA". It matches the Rfam family "Bacterial small subunit ribosomal RNA", at positions 524 to 776 of the family's 1533-position model. The record is from RNAcentral.
UACGAGGGGGGCAAGCGUUGUUCGGAAUUAUUGGGCGUAAAGGGCGCGUAGGCGGUGCGGUAAGUCUGAUGUGAAAUCUCCGGGCUCAACUCGGAGUCUGCAUCAGAAACUGCCGUGCUCGAGUGUGGGAGAGGUGAGUGGAAUUCCCGGUGUAGCGGUGAAAUGCGCAGAUAUCGGGAAGAACACCCGUGGCGAAGGCGGCACUCUGGGACGGUACUGACGCUGAGACGCGAAAGCGUGGGGAGCGAACAGG